Molecule: long non-coding RNA, 222 nt
Filed under: Carica papaya (papaya)
Lineage: Eukaryota; Viridiplantae; Streptophyta; Magnoliopsida; Brassicales; Caricaceae
Description: long non-coding RNA (CPAP_LNC016048)
Source: RNAcentral
GGUGCUUGGGCGAGAGUAGCUCUAGGAUGGGUGACCUCCUCCGAAGUCCUUAUAUUUCACCCAUUUUCUUAGGAAGUCCUCGUGUUGCACCCAUUUUUUUGCAGAUGAUUCUUUCGACGAUACGCGCGACUUGAAUUAUGGUCCUCAGGUUUAUUCGGAAAUGUGAGUCACGGCACCGUAGCAUUUUACUUGAUAUUAGAACGAGAACGGGAGGUGCAGUGC